GGGGUCAUAGCUCAGUUGGUAGAGCGUCUGCUUUGCAAGCAGAAGGUCGUCGGUUCGAGACCGACUGGCUCCACCA
Molecule: transfer RNA, 76 nt
Filed under: Puniceicoccales bacterium
Lineage: Bacteria; Pseudomonadati; Verrucomicrobiota; Opitutia; Puniceicoccales
Description: tRNA-Ala
Rfam family: tRNA
About the family: Transfer RNA (tRNA) molecules are approximately 80 nucleotides in length. Their secondary structure includes four short double-helical elements and three loops (D, anti-codon, and T loops).
Source: RNAcentral